Molecule: ribosomal RNA, 624 nt
Filed under: uncultured bacterium
Lineage: Bacteria
Description: bacterial SSU rRNA
Rfam family: Bacterial small subunit ribosomal RNA
Source: RNAcentral
GCGAGCGGCGGAUGGGUGAGUAACACGUGGGGAACCUGCCCCUAAGUCUGGGAUACCAUUUGGAAACAGGUGCUAAUACCGGAUAAUAAAGCAGAUCGCAUGAUCAGCUUUUGAAAGGCGGCGUAAGCUGUCGCUAAGGGAUGGUCCCGCGGUGCAUUAGCUAGUUGGUAAGGUAACGGCUUACCAAGGCGACGAUGCAUAGCCGAGUUGAGAGACUGAUCGGCCACAUUGGGACUGAGACACGGCCCAAACUCCUACGGGAGGCAGCAGUAGGGAAUCUUCCACAAUGGACGCAAGUCUGAUGGAGCAACGCCGCGUGAGUGAAGAAGGUUUUCGGAUCGUAAAGCUCUGUUGUUGGUGAAGAAGGAUAGAGGUAGUAACUGGCCUUUAUUUGACGGUAAUCAACCAGAAAGUCACGGCUAACUACGUGCCAGCAGCCGCGGUAAUACGUAGGUGGCAAGCGUUGUCCGGAUUUAUUGGGCGUAAAGCGAGCGCAGGCGGAAAAAUAAGUCUAAUGUGAAAGCCCUCGGCUUAACCGAGGAACUGCAUCGGAAACUGUUUUUCUUGAGUGCAGAAAAGGAGAGUGGAACUCCCUGUGUAGCGGUGGAAUGCGUAGAUAUAUGG